RNAcentral lists this transfer RNA (64 nucleotides) under Neobisnius villosulus. Its description in RNAcentral is "tRNA-Pro". Lineage: Eukaryota; Metazoa; Arthropoda; Insecta; Coleoptera; Staphylinidae. The record is from RNAcentral.
CAGAGAAUAGUUUAUAAAAAUAGCAAUUUUGGAGAUUGACGAUAGGGGUUAUCCCUUUCUCUGA